UUGGUUCUCCCGCAACGCUACUCUGUUUACCAGGUCAGGUCCGGAAGGAAGCAGCCAGGGCAGACGACGUGGGUGCCGGGAUGUAGCUGG
RNAcentral lists this signal recognition particle RNA (90 nucleotides) under Enterobacter hormaechei. RNAcentral's name for it is "Bacterial small signal recognition particle RNA". It matches the Rfam family "Bacterial small signal recognition particle RNA". From Rfam's summary of the family: The signal recognition particle (SRP) is a universally conserved ribonucleoprotein involved in the co-translational targeting of proteins to membranes. Archaeal SRP consists of a 7S RNA and homologues of the eukaryotic SRP19 and SRP54 proteins. In most bacteria, the SRP consists of a 4.5S RNA and the Ffh protein (a homologue of the eukaryotic SRP54 protein). Lineage: Bacteria; Pseudomonadati; Pseudomonadota; Gammaproteobacteria; Enterobacterales; Enterobacteriaceae. The record is from RNAcentral.